AAUUAAGACAAAUGGCCAAUCAACGAUCCAUCGUCUUGGUUACCGUGAGCAUUAGCUUCCUGGCUGGCAUGAGAACAUCGCAAUACAGACCUUACAGGAGAGCGACCAGGUCAACUCUUGGCAUCAAAGUGUCGCAGCUAGUUUCUGGUAUCAACGUUAACCGAGUGAGCUGCUGACUGAAGAGAGCAUCGUCCACAGUCAAUGAAUGGGUCGACCAUCUGUGAUCGUGAGUAAAGGUGAUGAUAUUGAAGAGAACGAGAGCUCCCACUCUGCUCAGAUUUCCAGAAAACAGCAGACGGGUUGGGAUGAGUUUUCCAGGUUUCCAGUGUUCAGACUCCAGUGUACAGUUCUGUUGUGGCAACAGAUCGGGC
Molecule: long non-coding RNA, 371 nt
Organism: Thunnus maccoyii (southern bluefin tuna)
Lineage: Eukaryota; Metazoa; Chordata; Actinopteri; Scombriformes; Scombridae
Exons: 4
Source: RefSeq, a predicted model, not a curated record